GGGACACGUGGUAUCCUGUCUGAAUAUGGGGGGACCAUCCUCCAAGGCUAAAUACUCCUGACUGACCGAUAGUGAACCAGUACCGUGAGGGAAAGGCGAAAAGAACCCCGGCGAGGGGAGUGAAAAAGAACCUGAAACCGUGUACGUACAAGCAGUGGGAGCCUCUUUUAUGGGGUGACUGCGUACCUUUUGUAUAAUGGGUCAGCGACUUAUAUUCUGUAGCAAGGUUAACCGAAUAGGGGAGCCGAAGGGAAACCGAGUCUUAACUGGGCGUUAAGUUGCAGGGUAUAGACCCGAAACCCGGUGAUCUAGCCAUGGGCAGGUUGAAGGUUGGGUAACACUAACUGGAGGACCGAACCGACUAAUGUUGAAAAAUUAGCGGAUGACUUGUGGCUGGGGGUGAAAGGCCAAUCAAACCGGGAGAUAGCUGGUUCUCCCCGAAAGCUAUUUAGGUAGCGCCUCGUGAAUUCAUCUCCGGGGGUAGAGCACUGUUUCGGCAAGGGGG
Molecule: ribosomal RNA, 505 nt
Filed under: Escherichia coli
Lineage: Bacteria; Pseudomonadati; Pseudomonadota; Gammaproteobacteria; Enterobacterales; Enterobacteriaceae
Description: partial 23S ribosomal RNA
Rfam family: Bacterial large subunit ribosomal RNA
Source: RNAcentral